CAGCAGCCGCGGUAAUACGUAGGGUGCAAGCGUUAAUCGGAAUUACUGGGCGUAAAGCGUGCGCAGGCGGUUAUAUAAGACAGAUGUGAAAUCCCCGGGCUCAACCUGGGAACUGCAUUUGUGACUGUAUAGCUAGAGUACGGCAGAGGGGGAUGGAAUUCCGCGUGUAGCAGUGAAAUGCGUAGAUAUGCGGAGGAACACCGAUGGCGAAGGCAAUCCCCUGGGCCUGUACUGACGCUCAUGCACGAAAGCGUGGGGAGCAAACAGGAUUAGAGACCCGUGUAGUCCCUGUCUCUUAUAC
Molecule: ribosomal RNA, 301 nt
Filed under: uncultured bacterium
Lineage: Bacteria
Description: partial 16S ribosomal RNA
Rfam family: Bacterial small subunit ribosomal RNA
Source: RNAcentral